This is a non-coding RNA of Aspergillus steynii IBT 23096, 74 nucleotides long. Lineage: Eukaryota; Fungi; Ascomycota; Eurotiomycetes; Eurotiales; Aspergillaceae. The record is from the annotation of a RefSeq genome assembly.
GGUCCUAUAGCUCAGUCGGUUAGAGCGUGGUGCUAAUAACGCCAAGGUCGCGAGUUCGACCCUCGUUGGGACCA